AAAUUGAAGAGUUUGAUCAUGGCUCAGAUUGAACGCUGGCGGCAGGCCUAACACAUGCAAGUCGAGCGGCAGCGGGAAAGUAGCUUGCUACUUUC
Molecule: ribosomal RNA, 95 nt
Filed under: Aeromonas veronii
Lineage: Bacteria; Pseudomonadati; Pseudomonadota; Gammaproteobacteria; Aeromonadales; Aeromonadaceae
Description: partial 16S ribosomal RNA
Rfam family: Bacterial small subunit ribosomal RNA
Source: RNAcentral